UACCUCAAAAAACCACAACAGUCUGUUUCAUCCGUAUAUGAAUCAUCAGCUGGUCUGAUGAUUCCUAUAGGAUGAAACAGACUGUUGUGGUUUUU
Molecule: non-coding RNA, 95 nt
Organism: Paramuricea clavata
Lineage: Eukaryota; Metazoa; Cnidaria; Anthozoa; Malacalcyonacea; Plexauridae
Source: the annotation of a GenBank genome assembly